Molecule: long non-coding RNA, 1206 nt
Organism: Rhododendron vialii
Lineage: Eukaryota; Viridiplantae; Streptophyta; Magnoliopsida; Ericales; Ericaceae
Exons: 2
Source: RefSeq, a predicted model, not a curated record
CUGCAUAUCUCAAUGAAGAUUCUAAUUACCUUGUAACCGGUGGUUUCAGUUGUGGUUUAGAUAAAAGGAAAACUGCUGGUUUUGGUUAUGGUUUCGGUUUUAGAUAUGGCUUUGGGUUUUACAUUCUACCAAUUACCGCACCGAAUAGUAUGGUUGCCAUCCCUACCCACUGUUUGAAAACCAAAACAAGUAUCAUUUUUCCAGCAACUAAAUUUUGCUUUCUCCGAAUAAAACUCAUCAUUAGGUUGUGUUCCAACGUAAGCCCCGUAGCCUUCAUAUGUAUGGGCAUCUUACAAAAUGAGGCAUAACCUGCCAUAGGAGAUUAGUGUGGGCAUUAGACUACUGCUCAGCUGGAAUCAGAUAGCAUAAUAUCCAACAUGCAGAACCUACUUAAGCCUACAUAGUCAUAGUUACAACAAAUUCAGCAACAUAAUAAAUGCCAUUUUUUGGAUGUGCAGGGCCCUUAGGGCCUCAGCUAAGUCCCCAGUGGCCCCAAACAAAUGCAGCCACUCUUCGAAGUAGGGGAAGGGCUUGUUCAUGCUUUUGCAUCAAUAUAACUCUACACAAAGUUGGAAACAAACUGUGCAUUAACUAAAAAUGGUUAGUAUGCACAAUAACAAAAACUUAAUGUAUGGUGAUGAAUUUUACCCUCACAAAGUUCUCCCACACAUCAUCACUAUCCACCGGUAUCAUCUUUCCAUUUUCAUCCCACCCAAAACCACUUAGCUAUAGUGCCUCUUGCAGCAUGUGGUAUUGCUUCAUCCACAUUUCGAUUUUGGACUCAAUGUGAGGGUUUACCCUCGAGUCAGUCCCAAGGAAACCCAGGCUUGAGCUGUCCCAAAUUGAGCUUCCGGUUUGUGUUUUUUGUUCACCAAGUCCGUCAUACAUGUAUCCCAUGAGGAACUCCUCCUCCCUUUUUGACCAAAACUUGUGAGGUUGUUUGCCACUCCUUUUACUCAUACCUAUUUUCCACACUUUAGAGAACAAGAUGCUUAAUUACUAACAAGAAAAGAAAACCAAAAUGCAAUACUGAAAUUGCAGAACAUGGGAAAAAGAAGAAGUUAUUAUCAUAGCGUUACAAUUAUACCCACUUACAGGUGUCAAAUUUCAUAGAGGUAGGCAUCCAAAUUUGAUGAUCAGCACAUUAAAAAAAGCUAGCUAGUCAACUAAAAACCCACCCCAAUUAGUUAUAUUUACUGUGUCAAA